CCUACGGGAGGCAGCAGUGAGGAAUAUUGGUCAAUGGGCGCUAGCCUGAACCAGCCAAGUAGCGUGAAGGAUGACUGCCCUAUGGGUUGUAAACUUCUUUUAUAUGGGAAUAAAGUGCAGUAUGUAUACUGCUUUGCAUGUACCUUAUGAAUAAGGAUCGGCUAACUCCGUGCCAGCAGCCGCGGUAAUACGGAGGAUCCGAGCGUUAUCCGGAUUUAUUGGGUUUAAAGGGAGCGUAGGCGGGUCGUUAAGUCAGUUGUGAAAGUUUGCGGCUCAACCGUCAAAUUGCAGUUGAUACUGGCAGCCGUGAGUACAGUAGAGGUAGGCGGAAUUCGUGGUGUAGCGGUGAAAUGCUUAGAUAUCACGAAGAACUCCGAUUGCGAAGGCAGCCUGCUGG
This 397-nucleotide ribosomal RNA is filed under the name uncultured bacterium. RNAcentral's name for it is "partial 16S ribosomal RNA". It matches the Rfam family "Bacterial small subunit ribosomal RNA", at positions 338 to 732 of the family's 1533-position model. The record is from RNAcentral.